GACGAACGCUGGCGGCGUGCCUAAUACAUGCAAGUCGAGCGGACAGAUAGGGAGCUUGCUCCUUUGACGUUAGCGGCGGACGGGUGAGUAACACGUGGGCAACCUGCCCCUUAGACUGGGAUAACUCCGGGAAACCGGAGCUAAUACCGGAUAAUCCCUUUCUCCACCUGGAGAGAGGGUGAAAGAUGGCUUCGGCUAUCACUAAGGGAUGGGCCCGCGGCGCAUUAGCUAGUUGGUAAGGUAACGGCUUACCAAGGCAACGAUGCGUAGCCGACCUGAGAGGGUGAUCGGCCACACUGGGACUGAGACACGGCCCAGACUCCUACGGGAGGCAGCAGUAGGGAAUCUUCCGCAAUGGACGAAAGUCUGACGGAGCAACGCCGCGUGAGUGAGGAAGGCCUUCGGGUCGUAAAGCUCUGUUGUGAGGGAAGAAGCGGUACCGUUCGAAUAGGGCGGUACCUUGACGGUACCUCACCAGAAAGCCACGGCUAACUACGUGCCAGCAGCCGCGGUAAUACGUAGGUGGCAAGCGUUGUCCGGAAUUAUUGGGCGUAAAGCGCGCGCAGGCGGCUUCUUAAGUCUGAUGUGAAAUCUCGGGGCUCAACCCCGAGCGGCCAUUGGAAACUGGGGAGCUUGAGUGCAGAAGAGGAGAGUGGAAUUCCACGUGUAGCGGUGAAAUGCGUAGAGAUGUGGAGGAACACCAGUGGCGAAGGCGACUCUCUGGUCUGUAACUGACGCUGAGGCGCGAAAGCGUGGGGAGCAAACAGGAUUAGAUACCCUGGUAGUCCACGCCGUAAACGAUGAGUGCUAGGUGUUAGGGGUUUCGAUGCCCGUAGUGCCGAAGUUAACACAUUAAGCACUCCGCCUGGGGAGUACGGCCG
This 881-nucleotide ribosomal RNA is filed under the name Shouchella clausii. RNAcentral's name for it is "bacterial SSU rRNA". It matches the Rfam family "Bacterial small subunit ribosomal RNA", at positions 28 to 888 of the family's 1533-position model. The record is from RNAcentral. Lineage: Bacteria; Bacillati; Bacillota; Bacilli; Caryophanales; Bacillaceae.